UGGCGGACGGGUGAGUAACGCGUGGGUAACCUGCCUUACACAGGGGGAUAACACUUAGAAAUAGGUGCUAAUACCGCAUGAGCGCACAGGACCGCAUGGUCGAGUGUGAAAAACUGAGGUGGUGUAAGAUGGACCCGCGUCUGAUUAGCUAGUUGGUGAGGUAACGGCCCACCAAGGCGACGAUCAGUAGCCGGCCUGAGGGGGUGGACGGCCACAUUGGGACUGAGACACGGCCCAAACUCCUACGGAAGGCAGCAG
This 258-nucleotide ribosomal RNA is filed under the name uncultured bacterium. RNAcentral's name for it is "partial 16S ribosomal RNA". It matches the Rfam family "Bacterial small subunit ribosomal RNA", at positions 96 to 354 of the family's 1533-position model. The record is from RNAcentral.